GACGAACGCUGGCGGCGUAGCUUAAGACAUGCAAGUCGAACGGAGAUACUCAUGAAGCUUGCGAUUGAGAAUCUUAGUGGCGGACGGGUGAGUAACGCUGGGUAACCUGCCCUAUGUCCGGGAUAACAUUCCGAAAGGGAUGCUAAGACCGGAUAUGCUCACGGCUCGGCAUCGAGCAGGGAGGAAAGGUAGCGCCAUAGGAUGGACCCGCGUCCCAUUAGCUAGUUGGUGAGGUAACGGCUCACCAAGGCGACGAUGGGUAGCCGGCCUGAGAGGGUGACCGGCCACACUGGGACUGAGACACGGCCCAGACUCCUACGGGAGGCAGCAGUCGGGAAUUUUCGGCAAUGGGGGGAACCCUGACCGAGCAACGCCGCGUGAGGGAAGAAGGUCUUCGGAUCGUAAACCUUUGUCAUCAGGGACGAUCAUGACGGUACCUGAGGAGGAAGCCACGGCUAACUACGUG
This 466-nucleotide ribosomal RNA is filed under the name uncultured bacterium. RNAcentral describes it as "bacterial SSU rRNA". It matches the Rfam family "Bacterial small subunit ribosomal RNA", at positions 28 to 507 of the family's 1533-position model. The record is from RNAcentral.